CGGCCUGUGUUGCAGACCUAUUUAUGUGUACGACAUUAGAGUAAAGCUAGUUCCCUCUUAAAAGCCGUUAUCGUUUGAUUUCGCUUGUUAGAUGAACAUCUUCUUAGUGCCUCCAUAAGUAAACUCUGAGAAUCUGGCCGUAAUGCCUAUACCCUAUGAUGUAUGGCAGGUUAACUAAAUUAAAGGUAAGUUAAAGAUGUCCAAGAAAACUGGCAAAGUUAAAUGGUUCAAUGAAAGCAAAGGUUUUGGUUUUAUUGAGCAAGAUGAUGGUGGUAAAGACGUAUUCGUACAUUUUUCUGCAAUCAUGAGUGAAGGUUUCAAAACUCUGGCUGAAGGCCAGAAAGUGGAAUAUACCAUUCAGGAUAGCCCACGCGGUCCAGCCGCUGGUGACGUUGUUGCGCUGUAAUUAGCCACUUCGUUAUCACGAGAAGCCCGCAUCAUGAUGCGGGU
Molecule: small RNA, 450 nt
Filed under: Leminorella richardii
Lineage: Bacteria; Pseudomonadati; Pseudomonadota; Gammaproteobacteria; Enterobacterales; Budviciaceae
Description: cspA thermoregulator
Rfam family: cspA thermoregulator
Source: RNAcentral